GAUGAACGCUGGCGGCGUGCCUAAUACAUGCAAGUCGAGCGAACAGAUGAGGAGCUUGCUCCUCUGACGUUAGCGGCGGACGGGUGAGUAACACGUGGAUAACCUACCUAUAAGACUGGGAUAACUUCGGGAAACCGGAGCUAAUACCGGAUAAUAUAUUGAACCGCAUGGUUCAAUAGUGAAAGACGGUUUUGCUGUCACUUAUAGAUGGAUCCGCGCCGCAUUAGCUAGGUGGUAAGGUAACGGCUUACCAAGGCGACGAUGCGUAGCCGACCUGAGAGGGUGAUCGGCCACACGGGAACUGAGACACGGUCCAGACUCCUACGGGAGGCAGCAGUAGGGAAUCUUCCGCAAGGGGCGAAAGCCUGACGGAGCAACGCCGCGUGAGUGAUGAAGGUCUUCGGAUCGUAAAACUCUGUUAUUAGGGAAGAACAAAUGUGUAAGUAACUAUGCACGUCUUGACGGUACCUAAUCAGAAAGCCACGGCUAACUACGUG
RNAcentral lists this ribosomal RNA (497 nucleotides) under uncultured bacterium. RNAcentral describes it as "partial 16S ribosomal RNA". It matches the Rfam family "Bacterial small subunit ribosomal RNA", at positions 28 to 507 of the family's 1533-position model. The record is from RNAcentral.